UUCCGGUUGAUCCUGCGGAGGCCACUGCUAUGGGGGUCCGACUAAGCCAUGCGAGUCAUGGGGCGCGCUCUGCGCGCACCGGCGGACGGCUCAGUAACACGUCGGUAACCUACCCUCGGGAGGGGGAUAACCCCGGGAAACUGGGGCUAAUCCCCCAUAGGCCUGAGGUACUGGAAGGUCCUCAGGCCGAAAGGGGCAUCUGCCCGCCCGAGGAUGGGCCGGCGGCCGAUUAGGUAGUUGGUGGGGUAACGGCCCACCAAGCCUACGAUCCGUACGGGCCCUGAGAGGGGGAGCCCGGAGAUGGACACUGAGACACGGGUCCAGGCCCUACGGGGCGCAGCAGGCGCGAAACCUCCGCAAUGCGCGGAAGCGCGACGGGGGGACCCCGAGUGCCAUCCCCUUGGGAUGGCUUUUCCGGAGUGUAAACAGCUCCGGGAAUAAGGGCUGGGCAAGUCCGGUGCCAGCAGCCGCGGUAAUACCGGCGGCCCAAGUGGUGGCCACUGUUAUUGGGCCUAAAGCGUCCGUAGCCGGCCCGGUAAGUCUCUGCUUAAAUCCUGCGGCUCAACCGCAGGGCUGGCAGAGAUACUGCCGGGCUUGGGACCGGGAGAGGCCGGGGGUACCCCAGGGGUAGCGGUGAAAUGCGUUGAUCCCUGGGGGACCACCUGUGGCGAAGGCGCCCGGCUGGAACGGGUCCGACGGUGAGGGACGAAGCCCUGGGGUGCAAACCGGAUUAGAUACCCGGGUAGUCCAGGGUGUAAACGCUGCUCGCUUGAUGUUAGGUGGGCUCCGGGCCUACCUAGUGUCGGAGAGAAGUUGUUAAGCGAGCUGCCUGGGGAGUACGGCCGCAAGGCUGAAACUUAAAGGAAUUGGCGGGGGAGCACAGCAACGGGUGGAGCGUGCGGUUUAAUUGGAUCAACGCCGGAAAU
This 926-nucleotide ribosomal RNA is filed under the name uncultured archaeon. RNAcentral describes it as "bacterial SSU rRNA". It matches the Rfam family "Archaeal small subunit ribosomal RNA", at positions 1 to 925 of the family's 1478-position model. The record is from RNAcentral.